GGAGGGAUCGCAUAGUCUGGCCUAGUGCGCACGCCUGGAAAGCGUGUAAGUAGGGAAACCUGCUUCGAGGGUUCAAAUCCCUCUCCCUCCG
This 91-nucleotide transfer RNA is filed under the name Actinomycetes bacterium. RNAcentral's name for it is "Actinobacteria bacterium (groundwater metagenome) tRNA-Ser". It matches the Rfam family "tRNA". From Rfam's summary of the family: Transfer RNA (tRNA) molecules are approximately 80 nucleotides in length. RNAcentral also lists the same sequence under 1 other name. Lineage: Bacteria; Bacillati; Actinomycetota; Actinomycetes. The record is from RNAcentral.